CCUACGGGAGGCAGCAGUGGGGAAUAUUGGGCAAUGGAGGAAACUCUGCCCCCGCAAUGCCGCGUGAAUGAAGAAGGUCUUCGGAUUGUAAAGUUCUUUAGUCAGGGAAGUAUACAAUGACGGUACCUUAAGACUAAGCUCCGGCUAACUACGUGCCAGCAGCCGCGGUAAUACGUAGGGAGCAAGCGUUGUUCGGAAUGCCUGGGCGUAAAGGGUGCGUAGGCGGUUAUACAAGUUAGAAGUGAAAUACCCGGGGCUUAACUCGGGUGCUGCUUCUAAAACUGUAAGACUUGAGUGCAGUAGAGGUUAGUGGAAUGCAUGGUGUAGCGGUGGAAUGCGUAGAUAGUAGGAGGAACACCAGAUGCGAAGGCGGCUAACUGGACUGCAACUGACGCUGAGGCACGAAAGUGUGGGGAGCAAACAGGAUUAGAUACCCGUGUAGUC
RNAcentral lists this ribosomal RNA (444 nucleotides) under uncultured bacterium. RNAcentral's name for it is "partial 16S ribosomal RNA". It matches the Rfam family "Bacterial small subunit ribosomal RNA", at positions 338 to 795 of the family's 1533-position model. The record is from RNAcentral.